RNAcentral lists this ribosomal RNA (337 nucleotides) under uncultured Prevotella sp. RNAcentral's name for it is "bacterial SSU rRNA". It matches the Rfam family "Bacterial small subunit ribosomal RNA", at positions 9 to 338 of the family's 1533-position model. The record is from RNAcentral. Lineage: Bacteria; Pseudomonadati; Bacteroidota; Bacteroidia; Bacteroidales; Prevotellaceae.
GAGUUUCAUCAUGGCUCAGGAUGAACGCUAGCUACAGGCUUAACACAUGCAAGUCGAGGGGCAGCAUGAUCUUAGCUUGCUAAGAUUGAUGGCGACCGGCGCACGGGUGAGUAACGCGUAUCCAACCUUCCCCUUAGUAGGGCAUAGCCCGUAGAAAUGCGGAUUAAUACCCUAUGUUUUCCAAUGAGGACAUCUGAGCUGGAACAAAGAUUAAUCGCUAAGGGAUGGGGAUGCGUCUGAUUAGGUAGUCGGCGGGGUAACGGCCCACCGAGCCAACGAUCAGUAGGGGUUCUGAGAGGAAGGUCCCCCACAUUGGAACUGAGCCAUGAUCAAACUC